GAUGAACGCUGGCGGCGUGCCUAAUACAUGCAAGUCGAGCGAACAGACGAGGAGCUUGCUCCUCUGACGUGAGCGGCGGGCGGGUGAGUAACACGUGGAUAACCUACCUAUAAGACUGGGAUAACUGCGGGAAACCGGAGCUAAUACCGGAUAAUAUAUUGAACCGCAUGGUUCAAUAGUGAAUGACGGUUUUGGUGUAAGUUAUAGCGGUAUCCGCGCCGCAUUAGCUAGUUGGUAAGGUAACGGCUUACCAAGGCAACGAUGCGUAGCCGACCUGAGAGGGUGAUCGGCCACCCUGGAACUGGGACACGGUCCAGACUCCUACGGGACGCAGCAGUAGGGAAUCUUCCGCAAUGGUCGAAAGCCUGCCAGAGCAACGCCGCGUGAGUGAUGAAGGUCUUCGGAUCGUAAAACUCUGUUAUUAGGGAAGAACAAAUGUGUAAGUAACUAUGCACGUCUUGACGGUACCUAAUCAGAAAGCCACGGCUAACUACGUG
RNAcentral lists this ribosomal RNA (497 nucleotides) under uncultured bacterium. RNAcentral's name for it is "partial 16S ribosomal RNA". It matches the Rfam family "Bacterial small subunit ribosomal RNA", at positions 28 to 507 of the family's 1533-position model. The record is from RNAcentral.